RNAcentral lists this ribosomal RNA (628 nucleotides) under uncultured bacterium. RNAcentral describes it as "bacterial SSU rRNA". The stretch from base 1 to 536 matches the Rfam family "Bacterial small subunit ribosomal RNA", at positions 338 to 873 of the family's 1533-position model. The record is from RNAcentral.
CCUACGGGAGGCAGCAGUAAGGAAUAUUGGUCAAUGGACGCAAGUCUGAACCAGCCAUGCCGCGUGCAGGAUGAAGGCCCUCUGGGUUGUAAACUGCUUUUAUAGGGGACGAAAAAGGGACUUUCUAGUUCAACUGACGGUACCCUAGGAAUAAGCACCGGCUAACUCCGUGCCAGCAGCCGCGGUAAUACGGAGGGUGCAAGCGUUAUCCGGAUUUACUGGGUUUAAAGGGUGCGUAGGUGGGUCGGUAAGUCAGCGGUGAAAUCUUCGAGCUUAACUCGGAAACUGCCAUUGAUACUAUCGAUCUUGAAUCAUCUAGAGGUAAGCGGAAUAUGUCAUGUAGCGGUGAAAUGCUUAGAUAUGACAUAGAACACCAAUUGCGAAGGCAGCUUACUAUGGAUGUAUUGACACUGAGGCACGAAAGCGUGGGGAUCAAACAGGAUUAGAUACCCUGGUAGUCCACGCCCUAAACGAUGGAUACUCGACAUCAGCGAUACACUGUUGGUGUCUGAGCGAAAGCAUUAAGUAUCCCCNCCUGGAGUACGAGCGCGAGAGUAGUAAACGUACGAAAGAAAGUUAGUACGGCGUGAGACGUUAGGCCGACGGACGACGACGAGGGGAGGUAGGG